This 561-nucleotide long non-coding RNA is filed under the name Nicotiana benthamiana. RNAcentral describes it as "long non-coding RNA (NBEN_LNC028008)". The record is from RNAcentral. Lineage: Eukaryota; Viridiplantae; Streptophyta; Magnoliopsida; Solanales; Solanaceae.
AUAGCUCUAAAAUUUUCUCAAGAAAAUGGCUAAAAUUUGUUGAGUUGUCCCACAUCGGAGGGAUUUGAAGUCCUUGGUCUCCUUAUAUGGCUUGGGCAAUCCUCACCUCAUAAGCUAGUUUUUGGGAUUGAGUUAUGCCCAAGGUCCAUUCUUAUCAUGGUAUCAGAACCAGGCCCAUCCCAAUUAUUGUUACCGAUGUUGGGCCCCCAUUUAUAUUGUCCACGCUCCAGAGAUCUGGGGGUGAGGGGGGUGUUGAGUUGUCCCACAUCGGAGGGAUUUGAGGUCUUUGGUCUUCUUAUAUGGCUUGGGCAAUCCUCACCUCAUGAGCUAGCUUUUGGGGUUGAGUUAGGCCCAAGGUCCAUUCUUAUCAAAAUUCUCAAAUCUUCUCAUUUUCAUGUACAUUUUAUUUUCUUUCUUCUUUCCUUUAAUUUUCUCAGAUUCUUCAGUUGAUGUUUUAUAUAUGGUGGUUGCUCACAAAUAAAAUAUUCACCAAACUUAUAGCAAUAUAAGUUGUUAUUUCAACCGUUAGAUUAUUUUGUUUUAUCAAACGAUAUAAAUUUC